UCCGGAAUGGUGUAAUGGUUAACAUCGCUCGCUCUCAUUUACUUCUCAUUAAUCGAAGUGUGAACCGAGCAGCUCGGGGUUCGAUUCCCCGUUCCGGAA
Non-coding RNA from Neophaeococcomyces mojaviensis, 99 nucleotides. NCBI's taxonomy places the organism in Eukaryota, Fungi, Ascomycota, Eurotiomycetes, Chaetothyriales. The record is from the annotation of a GenBank genome assembly.